UACGGGGGGGGCAAGCGUUGUUCGGAAUUACUGGGCGUAAAGGGCUCGUAGGUGGCCAACUAAGUCAGACGUGAAAUCCCUCGGCUUAACCGGGGAACUGCGUCUGAUACUGGAUGGCUUGAGAUUGGGAGAGGGAUGCGGAAUUCCAGGUGUAGCGGUGAAAUGCGUAGAUAUCUGGAGGAACACCGGUGGCGAAGGCGGCCAUCUGGACCGCAACUGACGCUGAGGCGCGAAAGCAUGGGGAGCGAACAGG
This 253-nucleotide ribosomal RNA is filed under the name uncultured bacterium. RNAcentral's name for it is "partial 16S ribosomal RNA". It matches the Rfam family "Bacterial small subunit ribosomal RNA", at positions 524 to 776 of the family's 1533-position model. The record is from RNAcentral.